UACGGAGGAGGCAAGCGUUAUCCGGAAUUAUUGGGCGUAAAGCGUCCGUAGGUGGUUGACCAAGUCUGCUGUCAAAGGGUGGGGCUUAACCUCAUAAAGGCAGUGGAAACUGGUGAGCUAGAGUGCGGUAGGGGUAAGGGGAAUUCCCAGUGUAGCGGUGAAGUGCGUAGAUAUUGGGAAGAACAUCGGUGGCGAAAGCGCCUUGCUGGGCCUGCACUGACAAUGAGGGACGAAAGCUAGGGGAGCGAAAGGG
Molecule: ribosomal RNA, 253 nt
Filed under: uncultured bacterium
Lineage: Bacteria
Description: partial 16S ribosomal RNA
Rfam family: Bacterial small subunit ribosomal RNA
Source: RNAcentral